UACCAGCACCCCGAGUUGUCGGGACGAUUAUUGGGCCUAAAGCAUCCGUAGCCUGUUCUGCAAGUCCUCCGUUAAAUCCACCUGCUUAACAGAUGGGCUGCGGAAGAUACUAUAGAGCUAGGAGGCGGGAGAGGCAAGCGGUACUCGAUGGGUAGGGGUAAAAUCCGUUGAUCCAUUGAAGACCACCAGUGGCGAAGGCGGCUUGCCGGAACGCGCUCGACGGUGAGGGAUGAAAGCUGGGGGAGCAAACCGG
RNAcentral lists this ribosomal RNA (253 nucleotides) under uncultured bacterium. Its description in RNAcentral is "partial 16S ribosomal RNA". It matches the Rfam family "Archaeal small subunit ribosomal RNA", at positions 474 to 727 of the family's 1478-position model. The record is from RNAcentral.